GACGAACGCUGGCGGCGCGCCUAACACAUGCAAGUCGAACGAGCGAGAGAGAGCUUGCUUUCUCAAGCGAGUGGCGAACGGGUGAGUAACGCGUGAGGAACCUGUCUCAAAGAGGGGGACAACAGUUGGAAACGACUGCUAAUACCGCAUAAGCCCACGACCCGGCAUCGGGUAGAGGGAAAAGGAGCAAUCCGCUUUGAGAUGGCCUCGCGUCCGAUUAGCUAGUUGGUGAGGUAACGGCCCACCAAGGCGACGAUCGGUAGCCGGACUGAGAGGUUGAACGGCCACAGUGGGACUGAGACACGGCCCAGACUCCUACGGGAGGCAGCAGUGGGGAAUAUUGCACAAUGGGGGAAACCCUGAUGCAGCGACGCCGCGUGGAGGAAGAAGGUCUUCGGAUUGUAAACUCCUGUUGUGGAGGAAGAUAAUGACGGUACUCAACAAGGAAGUGACGGCUAACUACGUG
Molecule: ribosomal RNA, 466 nt
Filed under: uncultured bacterium
Lineage: Bacteria
Description: partial 16S ribosomal RNA
Rfam family: Bacterial small subunit ribosomal RNA
Source: RNAcentral